GCGGGAGUAGCUCAGUUGGUAGAGCAUCAGCAUUCCAAGCUGAGGGUCGCGGGUUCGAGUCUCGUCUCCCGCUCAA
RNAcentral lists this transfer RNA (76 nucleotides) under Alteromonas sp. RNAcentral describes it as "tRNA-Gly". It matches the Rfam family "tRNA". Rfam says of the family: Transfer RNA (tRNA) molecules are approximately 80 nucleotides in length. Their secondary structure includes four short double-helical elements and three loops (D, anti-codon, and T loops). Lineage: Bacteria; Pseudomonadati; Pseudomonadota; Gammaproteobacteria; Alteromonadales; Alteromonadaceae. The record is from RNAcentral.